Molecule: ribosomal RNA, 471 nt
Filed under: uncultured Tepidiphilus sp.
Lineage: Bacteria; Pseudomonadati; Pseudomonadota; Hydrogenophilia; Hydrogenophilales; Hydrogenophilaceae
Description: bacterial SSU rRNA
Rfam family: Bacterial small subunit ribosomal RNA
Source: RNAcentral
AAGUUGACGGGGACCCGCACAAGCGGUGGAUGAUGUGGAUUAAUUCGAUGCAACGCGAAGAACCUUACCUACCCUUGACAUGUCCGGAACUUGCCAGAGAUGGCUUGGUGCCCGAGAGGGAAUCGGAACACAGGUGCUGCAUGGCUGUCGUCAGCUCGUGUCGUGAGAUGUUGGGUUAAGUCCCGCAACGAGCGCAACCCUUAUCAUUAGUUGCUACGCAAGGGCACUCUAAUGAGACUGCCGGUGACAAACCGGAGGAAGGUGGGGAUGACGUCAAAUCCUCAUGGCCCUUAUGCCCAGGGCUACACACGUACUACAAUGGUCGGUACAAAGGGCUGCGACCCCGCGAGGGUGAGCCAAUCCCAAAAAGCCGACCUCAGUUCGGAUUGUAGUCUGCAACUCGACUACAUGAAGGUGGAAUCGCUAGUAAUCGCGAAUCAGCAUGUCGCGGUGAAUGCGUUCCCGGGCCUU